Molecule: ribosomal RNA, 426 nt
Filed under: uncultured marine bacterium
Lineage: Bacteria
Description: bacterial SSU rRNA
Rfam family: Bacterial small subunit ribosomal RNA
Source: RNAcentral
AAUAUUGCACAAUGGGGGAAACCCUGAUGCAGCAACGCCGCGUGAGCGAUGAAGGCCUUCGGGUCGUAAAGCUCUGUCCUAAGGGAAGAUAAUGACGGUACCUUAGGAGGAAGCCCCGGCUAACUACGUGCCAGCAGCCGCGGUAAUACGUAGGGGGCAAGCGUUGUCCGGAAUAACUGGGCGUAAAGGGUGCGUAGACGGCCCUGCAAGUCAGAAGUGAAAGGCUACGGCUCAACCGUAGUAAGCUUUUGAAACUGUAGGGCUUGAGUGCAGGAGAGGAGAGUAGAAUUCCUAGUGUAGCGGUGAAAUGCGUAGAUAUUAGGAGGAAUACCAGUUGCGAAGGCGGCUCUCUGGACUGUAACUGACGCUGAGGCACGAAAGCGUGGGGAGCGAACAGGAUUAGAUACCCUGGUAGUCCACGCCGUA